AAUCAACGCUGGCGGCGUGCCUCAUACAUGCAAGUCGAACGCGAAAGUAACCUUCGGGUUGCGAGUAGAGUGGCAGACGGGUGAGUAACGCGUGGGUGACCUACCUUCGAGUGGGGGACAACCCCUGUAAUGGGGGCUAAUACCGCAUAACAUCCUGUUCUUAGAUGGACAGUGAUCAAAGCUGGCCAAGCUUCGGUUUGGCUAGUGCUUGUUGACGGACCCGCGUCCGAUUAGCUUGUUGGUGGGGUAAUGGCUCACCAAGGCUUCGAUCGGUAGCCGGCCUGAGAGGUCGGACGGCCACACUGGGACUGAGACACGGCCCAGACUCUUACGGGAGGCAGCAGUAGGGA
Molecule: ribosomal RNA, 350 nt
Filed under: uncultured bacterium
Lineage: Bacteria
Description: bacterial SSU rRNA
Rfam family: Bacterial small subunit ribosomal RNA
Source: RNAcentral